This 377-nucleotide ribosomal RNA is filed under the name uncultured eukaryote. RNAcentral describes it as "partial 18S ribosomal RNA". It matches the Rfam family "Eukaryotic small subunit ribosomal RNA", at positions 592 to 975 of the family's 1831-position model. The record is from RNAcentral.
CAAUAGCGUAUAUUUAAGUUGUUGCAGUUAAAAAGCUCGUAGUUGGAUUUCGGGUGGGACGCAGCGGUCUCGCAUUGCGUUUGUACUGCUGCAGCCCUCCUUCUUGCCGGGGGCGGCCUCUCGGUCUUCACUGUCUGGGGGUCAGAAUCGGCGAUGUUACUUUGAGUAAAUUAGAGUGUUCAAAGCAAGCUUACGCUCUGAAUAUAAUAGCAUGGGAUAACACGACAGGACUCUGGCCUAUCGUGUUGGUCUAUAGGACCAGAGUAAUGAUUAAGAGGGACAGUCGGGGGCAUUCGUAUUCCGUUGUCAGAGGUGAAAUUCUUGGAUUUACGGAAGACGAACAUCUGCGAAAGCAUUUGCCAAGGAUGUUUNCAUUG